UACGGAGGAUGCGAGCGUUAUCCGGAUUUAUUGGGUUUAAAGGGUGCGUAGGUGGCCCCUUAAGUCAGUGGUGAAAGUUUGUCGCUCAACGAUAAAAUUGCCAUUGAAACUGGGGGGCUUGAGUAUGUUUGAGGUAGGCGGAAUGCGUGGUGUAGCGGUGAAAUGCAUAGACAUCACGCAGAACUCCGAUUGCGAAGGCAGCUUACUAAACCAUAACUGACACUGAUGCACGAAAGCGUGGGUAUCAAACAGG
This 253-nucleotide ribosomal RNA is filed under the name uncultured bacterium. RNAcentral's name for it is "partial 16S ribosomal RNA". It matches the Rfam family "Bacterial small subunit ribosomal RNA", at positions 524 to 776 of the family's 1533-position model. The record is from RNAcentral.